Nicotiana tabacum (common tobacco) is the source of this 1953-nucleotide non-coding RNA. The record is from RefSeq and is a predicted model, not a curated record. Lineage: Eukaryota; Viridiplantae; Streptophyta; Magnoliopsida; Solanales; Solanaceae.
CCCCCCCCCCCNCCCUUCGCCUUCCAUCUCCUCCACAACCCCUUUCCAGCCGCACACCAACCAAAAACACCUCCCUGACCAAGAAAACCCUCCAUCGUCGUUGCUUCUCAUCUUCAACGCACACAGCCGCACUGAACCAUCCUCGCCGCCAUCUCCGCCAGACAUCCUCGUCUCUAAAAUCGGCCUUCUCUUCUGCACAAACUCAAAACACACGCACAGAAGCAGAAAAACAGAGUAGGAAACGGGAAACUGAGGUUCGAGGUGCAGGUCAAUCGCCGGUUCGAAUUCGGAUCCGACGAGAUUGUCCGUUCGUUAGUUCCGGUUCGGGUCCGGUUCGACGAGUCGACAGGGAGCAGAUUAAUUCCCUAUUAGUAGUUCUUUAAUCAAAAAUUUUUUUUGAUUAAGAUGGAGUCCGUUUGAGGUGGUUUGAAUCCGUCGCCGUUUGUUGUCCGAGGUUCAAGAUUCACAGCAUAAAUUACUAUUGUUGCUGUUUUUCCAUUCUGGUCCAAGUUCGUGUGUUAGAGCUUUCAAUUUCACUGUAAACGGAAGAGAUAUAGAUAUAUAUUGAAAACAGUUCAAGGUCUGGGAGGAAUCUUUCUGAUGAGGGAGGUGCCGUGUGUCAGAGGGGUCACUCUGAUGCAUGAUGAGGAGAGGAAGAGGCAGGAGAGCCUAUCGGUUGAGCCACCGGAACACAAGAGGAAUAGAGUGGACGAUUCAAAGGUUGACCCAUUGGCUUCGGUAUCUGGGGCGAUGGGAAAUCCUCGUGCUGAAUGUGAGGGAGAAAACAGCUUCUCGGCACCCUUCGAAUAGUGUUUGGGGUUGAUUGAUCCCUAGACCGUGGGAAUAGAUGCUUCCGUACAAGAGUCUGAUGCUGGCACGGUUCAGAUUCGUGGUGAUGAGGCAGUGGAUGGGGUAUCAAGCACUGACCUUGAAUUGACAGGUGGCCGGAGUUCUCCCCGAUCCGGGACACCCUUGACAGGAAGUUUGAGGGACCUCGAGCUGGGACCCAUGAUGAACAGAGGAUGGAGAUUCAUGUUAACCCCGUUGGCCCGUUGGAUAUCGUUGAUUCUCCAAGGGGGAGAUCCUUCCAUCUUCCGGAAUGCAAGAGGAGUCUCGCAAGGAGCCUUUCAUGGCGGGAGCACUAAUCAAAGGCAUAGACACACUCGGGAGGCCGGUGAUAAUUCUUGAGGGUAAUUCCGAGGUUAACGCCUCCUUUAUUUUUGGCGAGAUGGGCAGGCUUUGUGAGUGGUUUUAGGCCGCUGCGCUAUAUAACCAGUCCCUCACCCAGUAUCAGGACGAGGUGAAUCAUCGUGAGCAUAAGAAAUCCUUUUUCACUGAACAAGUUAUCUAUCCCUUGUUUUCGCUAUCAUUUGAGCCAUUGCAAAAUUUCGUCGCUUUUAACUCUUCGUGCCCCGAUCUAUGUAGUUUGAGAAGGAAAAUGCCCUGCUGAGAGGGGAGUUUCGAGCCAGGGAUGCUGAAAUCUUUGAGCUUAGCCAGCAUAUGAGCGAGGUGUCUUCUAAAAGGGACAAACUCAGGGAGAGAGUUGCCUUGAUUGAGCAUCAGCUCCUGGGCGCGAAGAAGGAUAACGGCAAGUAUAAGAGCCUUCAUUUCGAGUUGGUGGCUGCAUUGCUCCGGAUCAAAGUUGAGGCUGAGGUGCUUGUAUCUUCUCAUGGGGGAGGAACAAUUGUCAUAGAUUCCUGUGCUGAGAGGGUGUUCGAGGGGGCUGGCCCAAUUUUACCUCGAACCAUGGAUCACACAUGGACGGGUUCUCUAGGGCUGAUCGUCGAGGGCGUAUUGGAAGGCAGUUCGAGCGGGGUUAAAAAUGGGGGUGGAUCCCCGAAAAGGGGGGACGCCGUCGAGAAGGGGCCAUUGGGGGAUUUGUAAUCACCUAGAUGCAACCUUUGAGGCUGUCGAUUCGGCUAUAGAUUAGGAUAUGCUAUUUUGUUCUAUUGA